AUUGAACGCUGGCGGCAUGCUUUACACAUGCAAGUCGAACGGCAGCGCGGGCUUCGGCCUGGCGGCGAGUGGCGAACGGGUGAGUAAUACAUCGGAACGUGCCCAGUAGUGGGGGAUAGCUCGGCGAAAGCCGGAUUAAUACCGCAUACGACCUGAGGGUGAAAGCGGGGGAUCUUCGGACCUCGCGCUAUUGGAGCGGCCGAUGGCAGAUUAGCUAGUUGGUGGGGUAAAGGCCUACCAAGGCGACGAUCUGUAGCUGGUCUGAGAGGACGACCAGCCACACUGGGACUGAGACACGCCCCAGACUCCUACGGGAGGCAGCAGUGGGGAAUUUUGGACAAUGGGCGAAAGCCUGAUCCAGCAAUGCCGCGUGUGUGAUGAAGGCCUUCGGGUUGUAAAGCACUUUUGGCGGGAACGAAAAGGACUGUGCCAAUACCACGGUUCGAUGACGGUACCCGCAGAAUAAGCACCGGCUAACUACGUG
This 484-nucleotide ribosomal RNA is filed under the name uncultured bacterium. Its description in RNAcentral is "partial 16S ribosomal RNA". It matches the Rfam family "Bacterial small subunit ribosomal RNA", at positions 29 to 507 of the family's 1533-position model. The record is from RNAcentral.